UACGGGGGGUGCGAGCGUUGUCCGGAAUCACUGGGCGUAAAGGGCGCGUAGGUGGCGUGAUAAGGGUGUGGUGAAAGCCCGGGGCUCAACCCCGGGUCUGCCAUGCCGACUGUCAGGCUAGAGUACUGUAGGGGCAGGCGGAAUUCCGGGUGUAGCGGUGGAAUGCGUAGAGAUCCGGAGGAAGACCGGUGGCGAAGGCGGCCUGCUGGGACGUUACUGGCGCUGAGACGCGAAAGCGUGGGGAGCAAACAGG
Molecule: ribosomal RNA, 253 nt
Filed under: uncultured bacterium
Lineage: Bacteria
Description: partial 16S ribosomal RNA
Rfam family: Bacterial small subunit ribosomal RNA
Source: RNAcentral